UUCUUUAGGAAUUUCUCAGAACCCAGAAUGGAACUUGAUUCUCCUGUGGAGAAGGAAACUCAAAGUUGUCUUAAGUUUCCACUCCAACAGCGAAAGUGCUUAUAAAAACGAAACUCCCACGCUCUACAGACCCCAGAGUUCUGAGCCAAGCCCUACCCCCGCCCCUCUCCUCGCUCCCAGGCCUAGCUUCCUGUCCUCCAGCUGCUUUUCCUGAUAUUGGGAGAGCUUUUUUGUUGGCUGCGCCUCAUGGUAUGUGGUAUCUUAGGUUUGCAACCAGGGAUGAAACCAACUUGAGCUGCGGUGAAAGUGUGGUGUCUUAACCCCAGCACCACCAGGCAAGUCCUCUGGGAGAACUUUAAAACUAAGAAUUUGCUCUGCAGAGAAUUUGGUUGUACACGGUGACUCCUUCUGUCUCUAGUUCGCUGCAGGAUUUACAGCCUCAGCGUUGACUCCAGAUUCAGCCCUUGCCGUCUUGCUCCCCACCUUGAGAGCAGCAGCACCAAAAAUAGCAGCAUGAGUCACUGAAGCAUCGGGCAUCGUCGUCAAGGGCCAGGACGCCUGCUGCGGUGGAGCUUCUGCUUGAGUUCCAGGGACCUGGGGAAGGGAACCCUGGCCAGCUGGCCCCCAUCACUGCCUCCUGGACCCUGGGGGAGAGCUGAGUUCACUAAGAAAUUUGAAGCCUGAACUGGUGGAAAUGUUAAUGUUCAGAAUGGCUUUACCAUGACACUGCAUAAGGACCUCAGGGUCCCUCAUUUGCACCCCUUCUAAAGUUCUAUACUUUUUUUUUUUUUACUGUAUUUUAGUUUUCUUUUCUGAAAGAGGGCUCUCAAAGUUUUAUGUUUCAGGUCUGAGAAAACAAGCAUGGGUUAAUUUUGUUUAAUUCUCAUUGUGACCUUGGGAAACCAUUGGCUUCUCUAUUUACAGACAAAGGAUACGAGAGCAGAGAAAAGCCUUCCUUGGGUUCCUGGAAAAUUCCAGCAUUCACCACUCCAGAAUUAUCUUCAUUUGUGCAUCUACUUUUUUAACAAAUGCUUAUGGUACCUGUCCUGCCUUUCGCAAGAGGGCAACGAUUUUAAGAACCGCCCAGGACGCCGCCAGUAGGUGAUCAAGCACCUCAGUGAGGUCUUUUGUUUCCUUCAUCCCUUUACCUGCGAAUAACGGAGGCAGAGACCCUU
Long non-coding RNA from Bubalus bubalis (water buffalo), 1175 nucleotides. RefSeq lists it as uncharacterized. The record is from RefSeq and is a predicted model, not a curated record. NCBI's taxonomy places the organism in Eukaryota, Metazoa, Chordata, Mammalia, Artiodactyla, Bovidae. The transcript has 3 exons.